This is a long non-coding RNA of Parus major (Great Tit), 9163 nucleotides long. RefSeq lists it as uncharacterized. NCBI's taxonomy places the organism in Eukaryota, Metazoa, Chordata, Aves, Passeriformes, Paridae. The transcript is spliced from 2 exons. The record is from RefSeq and is a predicted model, not a curated record.
UGUGCAUAUAUAUGCAUGUAUGUAUGUGUGUGUGUGCGUAUAUAUAUAUAUAUAUAUAUAUAUAUACACACGCACACAUAGACACCUUUUGCCUGUAUAUAUGCGUAUAUAUUUCUCCAGGACAGGAAGUAUUAUAUGGGGUCUUGGGACGAGGGCCCUUGUGUUGCUCAGCAGUGCUUUCUCAGGCGAAACCUGUGUGUAAGAAGGUGGCUGUGGAGUGGAGGGUAAUGGAGAGUUGAUGUAAACACUUAGUAAUAAAGGGAUAGGACUCGGGAAUGAACGUAUACCUUAACCACUCCAUCUCAAGGGAGUCUUGACCCACUCUUUGCCAGGGCUGGCUCCUGCUUCUUUUUUUGGCUGAGGUACCCACCCCAUUAUUUUUUUGGUGGUAAAUGUCUCAGACUGAUGCUUCAGGGCAGUCCAUGGUGUGAAAUCAGUGCUGAGAGGAGUGAAUAGAGCUGCUGUGUUGCCCUGAAACAGCUGUGCUUCAUUUUGAUAUGUUUAGCCUUAGGGCUAUAUAUAAAAAGUUAUGUUAUUAUACAAUACUAUUAAUAGUAUGUAAUUUUAGUAGAUCUAGUAAGCUUUCCUAGAUCUUCCUCUGCUAGCAUGCUAGCAAGUGUCUGUACCUCACAAGGAAGUCUCAUAAAUGUAGAUAGAUCUAGUUUACAGAGCUAGUCUGAGAAAGCCACUUAAACAGUUAACUAGGAGAAAAAACAUGAAGGAUGAAUAUGGGCAGUGACAUAAUCUUAUGGUGGCUCAGCUGUUGUUAAAAAAGCCAAAGUGAAAGUACCUCUAUCAGAGCUGCUGUGCUUUGUGACAGGUUGCCAUUAUGGGUUCUUUACUCCCCUCUUGUAUUUUUCUGUCAGCUUUUGUAAUUUUUCCAGGAUUUUCAGAUGUACACCAAUCCAGAAAUCCCAGCCAAGCAGUCACAGUACAUGUUGACUCUGUUACAUGCAAGAUGAAACUCGUAUGCAGGGCUGGUUGGGUCGGUGCAAUUACAUUGCCCGAACAAUCUGUGUCUGCGUGGGGAGCUGACUCGAAUGCUGAAUGUGCUGAGUUUCUGUUGCUUUUUGAUUUUCUGAUAUGGUUUGGUCUAGAAAGAUCUAAAGUGUCUUCUGUUAGACGGGAAGUUUCCCAAUACUACAAAAUCUGGCUAAUAUCUGCUUCAUCCAGCAGUGGAGUUAUUCAGAGCCCCUACUUCCUCAGGUUGUUUAUAGGUUUGGAUGUUCAUACUGACCCUGGCACCCCCUUAUAACCAGUGAAACGUUUGAUUUUCAUUUUCUCAAAAGCACUACUGGUGCACAUCUUGGUCAUGAUGUGACACAGUCAUAAAGAACCAUUGUUUAUACCUGGACCUCACAACUUACAGGAAAGUGUAUCUCUUGUGUAAGCAGCUGCUACUGUCUCAGCUGCUGGGUUUGCAAUAUAUUGAUUGUUGGAAGAUGAAGAAUAUAGAUUUCUGAGGUAUUGAGAAAACUGCAAGUCCAAUGAAAACCAGACCCCUUUCAAUCUGGCUCAUCUUCAUACUGGUUCAUGCUGCUGGAUGAAUUGCUUCAGUUCUCUAAACACUUGUAGAACAAGACAAGAAACACAUAAAGUGAACUGAAGCCGAGGAAAAGGUGCAAAUGAAAGGAAUGGGAGGUGUGAAAAUCUAUCACUGCUAGUCUUGAUACCUAGUUGCAAUCAUGAGCAUGGUCUCAGGCCAAAAGCUUAAAAUUUUGUUUCUUUUUUGGACACAUGCAUUGGGGAAGGUGAAUUAUAUCAGUACUUUUUAAAAAGAUAGCCAGGUGUGUGGCUUUAAGGGUUGGCAUUUGGUGAUCUCUGGUAAAUGUAACUGAAUAUUUGGUUUUCUGUUAUGUUUCCCAGGCCUCUCUUGAGGGUUUGUUUCAAGCAAAUGGCAGUUGCAGGCUCCUGUUUUUCAGUGGAGAGAUUUUUCUGUUACCUUUGUUAUAUUUUGUUGAUGGCUAUUAAGGCAGCAGAGGAGAGCAUUCCAAUUAUAGUUGCUUGUAGGGUUCAUUUCCUUUCAGAAAUUGAUGUUGAAAUAUGUAUCUCAAAAAUAAUGAGCUCUUUCUUUGUGAAGGCAGAGUCAUCAUCAUUAUCAAAAUGUCAUUGCUGUGAAGAUCAGGAGGGAUUUUAAGGAUGUGGUAAUUUUGAUACUACUUUUUUUUUUUCUUCUUUCUUGACUGACAGAGUCUUAAUUAGUUACGAUUAGCUAUUUUGUGUACUGGGUAUUGGUUGUACAGCCCCAAAAUAUGUAUUCAACAAAUACAGGAGUAAAAGGAAAAGAAAGGCUGCACCUGCUGUGCUUAUCUUGGAGAAAAGCUGCUCUUGUGUUUAGAAGAAAAACAUAGAACCUGGUGACUGAAGAUUGAUACUAGAAAACAGUGGUGGAAUAUAUUGGAUGGUAUCUACAACUGGAGUGCCUACAGCAAAAAAAUAUUCCUUUUUCUAUUAAGCACAGGAAUAUAUUUCUGCCAGGUCUGACUCUAUUUUAUCCCUGUUAAAUAUUGUCCUGUAAAUAUGAAGUUAUGUUAUUUCAGUUUGUGGGAACCCUCUAUGAUUAAAGAGCAGGUUCCUGGUGACAGUAGUAUGGAGAACACUAUCAAACCCACAUGCCCCACAAAUUCAUGUCCCAGCUGGGAGGCACCCCAGAGAAGCUCGCUGCUUGUUCCAGUGCAGGUACUGUGGAAAUAUCUCAAGAGGACAAAUCACUGUGAUGAUGUCGAGAGAUUUCUGUUUCUCAGCAUGGCUGAGUUGUUGUCUAAUACACUCGUCUCAUGCAACUUCUUUGGAUUGUACAUUAAUAUUUCCCAAGAGCAGGUUGCAAUAUUGUGUGUGUCAGAUUUCACUUUGGAUCUCAAUAAUUUCUUCAAUUAUGUCCUGCAUUAAUGGUUUGCAUAGUCUUGGAAAACAGCACAAGGGUGUCUUCUGCCAAAUACACUGAGAUAGCAGCCUCAUCAUACUUCAUAUAUUUUUAUUGCUUUUUUGCUUUCUGGGAAGACUUCCCCACAGUAUGUAAAAUCUUCUAAAUAGCUAUUAAUUUCUUCAGUGGUGGUGAUCCCUAUUAUUUGUGAUAAAAUGCAUAUAUUAAAAAAAAAACCAAACUAAAAAAGCUUUGCAAAGUAAAUGUAUGAGCUGCUUUGCUAAAUAGCAAACUCAGUUGUACGCAAGAAACUGUAUUCACUUUGGUAAAAGGAAAAGUUCUAUUGCAUGGGUAUUACAGAAACUCAAAUGAUCACAAUUGUUUCUGAAUCUUAUUUUGCCUCCUAAUCUGAAGUGUGUUAGGUCUCCAAGAGUUUUCUAUCAGUCUAAACCACCAAGAGAGCUAGGAAAGACAAGUAAUGCAGCCACUGUGCAGUAAGGGCAAAGUAAAUGUGAGAGACUAUCUAGAUUCAGUCUUGUAACCAAACACCCUUUCUCUGUUGCAGCUAUCAGCAGUUGGGCUUGGCUAAGUGGCCAGGGGGGAAAAAGAUAGUAAGAAAUUUAGCAUGGAGAAGGAGACAGAUGGCUGUAGACUGGUUGAUCUUGAAGUGAGCAGUCUGAAAGAUAUAGUACAUAAAACUGCUGACAGAAGAUGUGUUAGAGAGAGGCAUAAGUGCAGGUAGCUAUAAAGUAGCAAAGGUAUUUUAGAAAGGUGCAAAACCAGAUCCAGGCAACUAAGUGUCUUUUGCUGUGAUCUCAGUAGGCUUUAAAAUAAAAUGUGAUGGAGAGCAUAAUAGAGAGCAUGGAGGUAAAUGGAAUGAAAUGUCACAUCUUUUUAAUCAAAGGUAGAUUAUCUCAGAUUAACAGAAGAUCAUUUUUGAUAUAUUCAGUGAUAUUUUUAGGCAAGGAGAAUGGGUAGAACUAUUCUGUCUUGAAUGUAUUUGAUAUAUUGUCUUGUGGGAAAUCGUUAAUUAAGCUGGACAUGAUAAGAAUCAUUAGAAGAACUGAAAGUGGGUAAAAAAAGUGGAGUGGUUAGGAGACAGUAGAGACUAUCAAAAGGGAAGUAUUGGAAUGAAGUUACUAAUAAUUUUUUUUCAGGAAUGAAUUUUGAGAGAAAGCUUCCUAGUAAUUUCAUUAACAGUGUUGAUAAGAGAAUUAGGAGUAUGACAGUGAUUCUGAAGACACAAGUUUAGACAGCAUAGUUAAUGGAGAGAAGGAUAAGAAUAUCAAAUGGGAAAAAUUAGAUGACUCCAAGGAUAAGAGAAAUAAAGAGGCUAGUAUUUAAAAUAUUAGAGUGCACGUUCAUGAAUUAAUUUGAGAACUCAUAACAUCUUGUUAUGAGUUAACUCAUAACAUAAAAGCCUGACAAAGAAGAGGUGGAGAUUGCAACUUGCAUGUUAAAACUGGUUUUAGGAGGACUGUGAGUCUUGUAGGUAGUGCACCUAGAAAAUGUGCAAGCUCAUAUAUCCCAUAUGAUAUAUCCAAUAAAGCUACAAAAAUUUAUGCAGACCUCAUCUGAAAGGCUCUACUGUGUGUGUACCUGCUUUCCAAGAAAAAUGAAUUGAGACCUAACUAGUUGCAGAGAAAAGCUACAAAGAUGGUCAAGAUAAGAGAGGACUUACUACAGAAGGGAAUAUAAAACAACUUGGCAUGUUUAAUCUUGUGAAACAAAGACAGAGAGGAGGAUAUAUGUUGCCUCUGUUUAAAGAAAUUGGAAAGAUAAAGAUAUUGUGGACAUAAACAGUGCUGAUGGAAAGUGAUAUUCAAGUAAAAAGAAACUCCUUUUUGCACAAGAACCCUGUUAAUGCAUGCAGAUUGGAGACUUGUAAAUAUUCCUUGCAAAUGGGGCAAGUCACUUCACUGGAUGGUCCUGAUAAGUGAAAUAAUUUAUUUGUCAUAAGUAUCUGUGAAAACGAAGUAUUGUAUUCAUUUCCUAAGGAGGUAACUUCCAAUCAUAUGUUUACUAAAAAUGUGCUAUUAAAAGUGUAAAUAAGGUAGCAAAUCCUUAUUGUGGUACUUCUUUAUCUGAGUAUAGCUUGAAAUGAACUGUAUGUUCUUAAGAGUAAGUAAGAAUUAUGUUGAAUUGUGUAAGUAAGGCAGUGUUCUAAAGCAGGAAGUGUAAUUGGAAGUAGGAGAAAUUCUUGGUAUUUUAUUUCUUGGAGAAGUAAUAUCUUUCAUAUGUUAAAGCUUCUAACUUAUGAAUCAGAGCACAUGAAGGGAAUUGUUGUAGGUGUGAUUUUUGAACAAUAUUCAGAAAGGGAGUUUACAGUCUUGUACGUUUUAUACAAGACAAGUAAAUGGGUGGAGUAUCACAAAGCAUGGGAGCAGUGGACUGGAAAUAAGAGGGGAAACUGUUAAUGAUCUUCAUCACAUAAUGGGGAUAAAGACAUGUAGUCUGAGAGCACAUACACUAAGGCUCCUGUGUAAGAGGAACUCACCUUCAAAGUUUUUCUCUUAGAAGAUCUGUUUAAAUGAGAAACAGAAGUAGAUGUUCUGCGUGCUUACUUUCUGGUUUCAUACCAGCUAGAACUGACAGAAACAUGGAACAUAUAGAGCUUUAAGUCAAAUGGAGAACUUGCCUGUGAGUAAAGUCUGAAGAGGUUAGACCUUUUCUCCCUGAAAAGAGAAGGCACAAGAGAGAAUCUCAUCACAGUAUUCUAGUACUUAAAGGGCUUCUCCAGAGAUGAUGGAAUCUCUCUCUUCAUAGGGAAGAAAAGGUGAAAUUGGUAGUGGUUGUGCUAGAUUUAAUCUUGAUACAAGAGAGAAUUUUUUUACAGUGGGAAUAACCAUUGCCUAGAACAACAUAUCCAGGUUCAUGGUGAAGUUCCCUUCACUGGACACUUUCAAGACACAACUGGACAGGGUGCUGAAUGAUCUCUUCUAGCCUCCCUUUCCCAGAUAAGGUUGGACCAGAUAAUCUUUCAAGGUUCCUUCCAACCUUGGCUGAACUAUGCUCCUAGGAAUAUGCUAGUGGGCUGGAAAUAUCUCACAGAAGGAUGGAAACAUCUCCCUGAUUCUAGUGUGGUUUGCGAUAACCAAUGACACGAGUGUGGAACAUGGACCUGCAGCUCCAGCCUGGUUGGGUGCACAGGCAUGUGCUCUGUGUAGCUCUGCUUUCUUGUUGCUUGUGGAUGCAUUUGGAAAACAGCCUGUGAAUUCACACGGAGGAACCAAAUUUGCCACCAGAUAGUCAUAUUUCUAAUUGAUAUAUGAUAUUAUGUGUGCUGAAAGUCAGUGUUCUGUAAAGUAAAAUAAAAAUCAAAAAGAUCUGGUUGUUUUAAAGAGGUACUUGUUAACAUGACUUGCCAUGCAUCAUUAGGAUGGUAUUUCUUUCUAGAAGACAUCUUUAAUAAAUGAUCAGUCAAAAUCAUCUGCAAUCAAGACAACACAUUUCUAUCAGUGGAAGAAUAAAGCCAAUAAAAUUAUAGGAGAAGGAAGUAAACAGUUUAUAUAAUUGUAUCACUUGUUUCAUAAUGAAAUACAGUAAUUUUCUUCUGUUUUAUACAUGAUGCUCCCAAUUAAAUGUGACCAUGUAGGAGCAAAAGUCACAGUAAAUAAGGAAGUGAUAAAUCACUUAAAAAAAAGUAAAAAACCUCCAAAAACAAAUCCUCCAAAAGCUUCUAGUCCUGUUUCAUAAAGGCAGCCUUCUUCAGGCCAUUAAUGUAGCUGUUGCUUCAACAGGUCAAUGUAAUAGAUGUGAUGUGACAGUUAACUUGCUAAGGCCUAACUUUAAGAAUAAUCUCAGCUUUAAUUGUCUAAUUCAUUUACCUUGGUGAGACCUGGAGGUGUGUGCCCUCUUGGGAAUCUCAGUCUGUGUCCAUUGGUCCCUACUUAUUAAGAGGAAGGAAAAUGAACUUUUGUAAAAAACUCCAAAUACAUAGAUCUCGUGGUUUUGUGGUAGAAAACUCAAAACAUAGCUUCAAAGCUAGCCUGAAGUGGUAACUUCAGGAUUUGCAUAUUUUUUAUCUGAGAAUGUCUGUGAGUCUCCCAGACUGUGAGGCAUACAUGGCUAGUGACAUGGCAAACCCUCCAAGUUCAGUGUGCCUGGUGGUGACAUCUUCUAGAAAGACAUCUACUUCUGGGAUGUGUGCCAGAUCCACUGUGAAGGAGACUGGGAAUGUGGAGAUUGAACUUGGGGAUAUUCUUUGAUGCCAUGACUUUAGGGUGUUGGUUUAUGGAGGUGGAGAACAUGUUGAGAAGGAGGCAUAUUUUUUUUUCUGUCUUUCUGGCAAAUUAAAUGCAUGUUUGGAGAAGAGGGGUCCUGCCUUCACUGGGAAGAGAGUGUGUGGUCCUAAAAGAGCAGCUGUGUGCGGAGGCACUGUUCAUGCAUAUGAACUGUCCCUGGCAAUCAGACCUCGGUUGCUGGUGUUGCCACCGCUAAUGUCUUCUGAGCUGACUGCUAUCCUGAAAUAAUGUAUGCAUUAUAGACCACAUCAUAUUAUAAAAAUCAUAUGUACAACGUGCAACCCAAACAACAACCAACAAUGCUAAUAUUGUCAGCAUGAAAAAAUAGGGAGAAAAUAUAUAUCUGUUAUACAUUAACUUUCAGUUUAAUCUCAUAAAAAUGUGAUUCCUUGAAAGUUAGAUGGCUUCAAAGUGCCUUCUUUGAUCAGUAAGGAGAGACAGGUACCUUCAGAGGACAUUUCUUCCCUAUAUGUCAGGUUAUGAUGAAUUACUCACUGUAGAUGUCUUUUUCUCUACUGCAAGCCCUUGUGACAAACUUCAGUUAGACUUCUAGGGCUUGGUCCAGCUUCCUGCUAAUGGCCAUUUAGUGACUUUGGAGAACUCCAGGGAUUCUGUGACCUUUGCAUGGGGCUGGUAAAUGUUUUGCGGGUCAUGACCUGGAGAUCCAGGAAGCACAUUCCGGGGAAUCUGAGAUUAUGUUAGAUAGGUAUGUAUGGGCACUUGGGGUGCUCACCCAAUUUCUUACUUAAAGUAAGGUUAGGGAAAUCCCAGAUGGGAUCUGACCCCAGCCCAGCUAAAGCCAGUGUUAAUCUUAGUAGAAUAGCUGUACGUAGAUGAGUCCUCAAACUCUAGAGGUCUAAAUGUCACAGCCUAACUCUUUGUGGAGAGUAAACUUGAAUACAAUAUUGUUUAAUUUCUCAUGAGUUUGUUCCUGCACUGUUCCCAUCAAUGGCAGGUUCUCCACAGCAAGAAGACAAGCAAGUUUAAACUUCAUUUUUAUAUUGGAAGAAAAUAAUAAAAAAAUAAUAAAAAAAUAGCCCAACAAAACCCCCAAAAGAGUACUCUUGUCCCCAUCUCACCCCCACCCCCCCGUUGGUCAACAUUCAAACAACUUGGAAAAGAAAGACUUAGUUGCUCUGCUUUAUUAGAGACAUUAAAUUCAGAGAUGCCUAUAAGAAGUUAUAUUUGAAAGGGUGAAAAUUGCAUUUAAUCCAGCUCUUAAAAUAUGAUGGCUGGGCAACUGUUUCUUCUGACAACUAGCAAUUACUUAAUCAUACAAAUUUCUUUCACUAUGUGAAAGAAAUGGAGAAAAGCAGAUGAAAAUUCCCUUUGGGGAUCUGAUGAUUUGAUAACCUUAUUUCUUCAGAUGUAGUCCGGAAUAUUACUGUCUUUAAUAUCUACAUCAGUUGCAGAAAAGCAAUAAAAAAAGUCAUCUCAAAGAUCCUGGCAUUAGUUUAUUUGUGUCAUAGCCUUUAACUUUAUGAAGCAUUUUGUGUGGGUGGAAUUUGACAUGCCUGAUGCAAUUGUUCUCUUGAUUCAGUGUAACUAGAGAAAUAAAUUUGAAGCAAAUGGAAGUCAAGUAAAGAAUGCAAGCAAAUGUAAAAGGAGGCAUUUUUCUUCCAGGAAGUUUUUACAGUAGACUUCUGAAAGAUUUUAUCUGGAACAUGGAUUCUUCAAAAAGAGUAAUUUGACACUGGAAGAAAUCAUGCAUCACAUACAUUGCUGACAUCUGGGUCUGUUUCAUUUGUCUUAGUUAUAAUUUUAUGUUUAUAUGAUGGGUAUUUCCUGAAACUGCAGUGGAAGAAGUCAAUACUGAAGUAAUUUUUAUUUCCCCACAAGGUGGUACUGUGGUACUGACUAUACAGCUCUUGAUUUGGCUGUAGUUGAUUUAUAUCUGUACCCCCUUCUGCACAUGUUUUAAAGACAGAUUUUUGUUUGCAAAGAAGAAAGUUUCAGUGUUAAAAUCAAAUGUUGUUGCACAAUGUUCUUAAGAGUCUUUUUUUAAUGUGCUUUUUACCAAUCUUUUUUUUCUCAUUAAAAAUAAAUUUUAUUGCAA